GGAAAAUGGGUCUGUGGAGGGGGGUGGAUCACCAGCCAUAAUAAAAGAUUCUCAGCCUAGGGUGGCAGGCUGGGCUCUGCCACUUCAUGAGCACCCGAGGGCACCCUGUGUGUGUUUGUUAGUGGUUGAAGCGUGGACCUAUCAGGAGGACAGGUGGAGAGGCGUUGAAAGAGAGGGUUGGCAGAAAGGACUCACUGUCAGGAGGACCAAGAGCUCCCAGCCAGGCCCCACUCAGCCUGGACACCGCCUCUGCCUGGGAAYCCGGGACCUGCCCACCUGCUGCAAGCAGCCAGCCUCAGGUGGUCAGUCCCCUCCUCCGUCCCUCCUGCCCUGGAGGAGGAGCAGGGCCACCCUUGCUGAGAGCURCCUCCUUGUGCUGGCCCUGGGCGUCAUCCUGAAGAGUGGGCAAGGUGGACUCCUGCAGAACCUGGACUCCACCUGGGCUGCUUAGAACAAYGCUUCCUCCUCUUGGUGUUGUUCCUUUAUGUUUUAUUAAUGUAGAGUGUUCCUCGUUGAGCAGCAGUAAUGUCAUAAAACUCUUCAAAAGGCAAAAGGGCUUUCAGAGGGACAGCAGGUCUGCSCUCUACCUGCCUACUGCAAGGAUCUCUGUGGUUUCAGCCUCAUUUGCUCAGGGGCACCGUGCCCAGAGCCCAGGCCCUUCCCACCUCUGCACCUGGAGGAGCAGAGCCCCUGGGAUUCCAUCCUGCCCUGGACCCGGGAUGACAGUCCCCGGGACCAACAGUGACCGUGGAGGAGGAGAACGACAAGGUCGGCUGUUUCCAGGUCCCACGAGCAGGCUCACCAGCUCAGGACCCGGAAGAGUUCCCAGAAAGGACUUGUUSACUAGUCGGACAGAGGUGGGGAGGAAGGACACAGAAUGGGGAGAGCCCGGGAGCCAGCACCGUGGAUGCUACGGAGAGUGGGGAAACCAGCACUCUCAGAUCUGGGUCAUGCUGAGCCCAGGACCAGACCAAAGAGAGCAGAGGACUGCCACAGAAGAAAGAAGAGAGUCUAGCUGCUCCCGGGAGUGGAGAUCAUGAAAGUGUGAGACCUCUGGGGUACAGAGAAUCGUUUCUUGGCUCCUGAGUCCCUUCUGGAGGAAAUCUUCCAAGCCAAUAGCAUUGUAUCUGUGGAGGAGGGGGAAAACCUCCUCUACUCACUUAGGUUCAGUGAUGGGGGUGUGCAAAUUAGACCGAGAAAAGACAGAGUMGCAGGGGAAAAGGCAUGUAAGUUUUGUUGGAUGUUAAUAUCUUAACCGAGGGUUCAGGGAGUCMAAGUCAGAGUCAGGUGAGGGUGGGGUCCUAGAAAGGAAGAGGGCCAGUGUGAAACUGCAUCUUUCAGAGAAGCAGGUCCACAGAACUUUCCCUAGGAGAAGGAAAUGAGUCAUGGGACUGGGUGCUCCCCACAUAGCCCUGGAGAUGUGUCGACUUCCUGGAGUGCCCCUACCCACCCCACGCCCCCACAUGCCGCCUGCCGAUUCUGUCCCUGCAGGGCCACCGAACAUGUGGUGUCUGGAGGAGCGGAACAGGAGGGCAGCAGGGUGCAGGAUGAGGGAGGCCCAGGAGCAAGCACUUGCAGUUUCCAGAAGGACUUUCUUGCUGCUGUGUGGAAACUGGGUUGCGUGGGCUUCUGAGAUCUUGUCGGUCUUUCGAGCCAUUCUAUGUUGCAAAAGAACUAGUCCUUGAGAACGGCCACCUUGCAGAGGGGCUGCGAGCCGAGCAGAGAGGAUCCAGGCCUGGGWUGAAGGCCACGGUGACCUCAGGGCUCUCGGUGUCGCAGGAUGAGGGACAGGCUCGGUGUGUUCUCUUUAGUAGGGAGAUUUCAAAAAGCAUCCCAGGGGCUGGUGCUGGGGCUCAGCGGUGGAGCGCUCACCUAGCAUGUGUGAGGGCCUGGGUUCCAUCCUCAGCACCACAUGAAAGAUAUUUAAAUAAAGGUAUUGGGUCCCCAGUUCCCCA
Urocitellus parryii (Arctic ground squirrel) is the source of this 1955-nucleotide long non-coding RNA. The record is from Ensembl. Lineage: Eukaryota; Metazoa; Chordata; Mammalia; Rodentia; Sciuridae.